AUCUUAACAGAAUGUGAAGAAGAGAGAAAAAGGAAAGAGAAGAGAGGUAAGAAGAGAAUUUUAGUUGUACUUUCUUUCUUUCCCCCUCUCUCUCCCACUCUUUCCAUCCUUUCCUCUUUGUCUCUCCC
This 128-nucleotide non-coding RNA is filed under the name Brugia malayi. Lineage: Eukaryota; Metazoa; Nematoda; Chromadorea; Rhabditida; Onchocercidae. The record is from RNAcentral.